UGUGCCUACAAGUAGUCAAAGCACAUUAAAGUGUAAUGGCGUGCCUUUUGUAGAAUGAACCGGCGAGUUACGUUAUGGUGCAAGGUUAAGUCAGAAAAGACGGAGCCGGAGCGAAAGCGAGUCUGAAGAGGGCGAGAGAGUAUCAUGACGUAGACCCGAAACCAAGUGACCUACCCAUGACCAGGUUGAAGGCGUGGUAAAACACGCUGGAGGACCGAACCCACGUGAGUUAAAAAUCGCGGGGAUGAGUUGUGGGUAGCGGUGAAAUUCCAAACGAACUUGGAGAUAGCUGGUUCUCUCCGAAAUAGCUUUAGGGCUAGCCUCGUGUGAAUGAUAAUGGAGGUAGAGCGCUGUUUGGACUAGGGGCCCGUCAGGGGUUACUGAAUCCAGAUAAACUCCGAAUGCCAGAUAUCAAUGCACGGGAGUCAGACUGCGAGUGAUAAGAUCCGUAGUCGAAAGGGAAACAGCCCAGAUCACCAGUUAAGGUCCCCAAAUCUAUGCUAAGUGGAAAAGGAUGUGGAGUUGCGUAGACAACUAGGAUGUUGGCUUAGAAGCAGCCACCAUUUAAAGAGUGCGUAAUAGCUCACUAGUCGAGUGACGCUGCGCCGAAAAUGUACCGGGGCUAAGCAUAGUACCGAAACUGUGGAUGCAUAUCAAAGGAUAUGCGUGGUAGGAGAGCGUUCUAAGUGCGGAGAAGUUAGAUCGAGAGGACUAAUGGAGCGCUUAGAAGUGAGAAUGCCGGUAUGAGUAGCGAAAGAUAGGUGAGAAUCCUAUCCGCCGAAAGACUAAGGUUUCCUGGGGCAGGCUCGUCCGCCCAGGGUAAGUCGGGACCUAAGGUAAGGCCGAGAGGCGUAGCCGAUGGACAACAGGUAGAGAUUCCUGUACUGAAAUUGUUCGAUAAGAGCAAAGGAGGGACGCAGGAGGCUAAUGACGCAUGUAGCUGGAAAAACAUGUGCAAGCAGUAAGAAAAAAGAUGAGUCAAAUGCUUAUUUUUAGAUUUCAAGCUGUGACGCGGAGUGAAAUCAAAGUAGCGAAGGUCAUGAUGUCACACUGCCAAGAAAAGCUUCUAGCCAGAGCAAUUUUACCCGUACCGCAAACCGACACAGGUAGUCGAGUGGAGAACACUCAGGUGAGCGAGAGAACUCUCGUUAAGGAACUCGGCAAAAUGACCCCGUAACUUCGGGAGAAGGGGUGCUGAUGGUAAAAGAUCAGCCGCAGUGAAUAGGCCCAAACAACUGUUUAUCAAAAACACAGGUAUCUGCAAAAUCGUAAGAUGACGUAUAGGUGCUGACACCUGCCCGGUGCUGGAAGGUUAAGAGGAGAGCUUAGCGUAAGCGAAGGUUUGAAUUGAAGCCCCAGUAAACGGCGGCCGUAACUAUAACGGUCCUAAGGUAGCGAAAUUCCUUGUCGGGUAAGUUCCGACCUGCACGAAAGGUGUAAUGAUUUGGGCACUGUCUCAACGAGAGACUCGGUGAAAUUAUAAUACCCGUGAAGAUGCGGGUUACCCGCGACAGGACGGAAAGACCCCAUGGAGCUUUACUGUAGCUUGAUAUUGAGUAUUUGUUAAACAUGUACAGGAUAGGUAGGAGCCAGAGAAAGUAGGACGCUAGUCUUACUGGAGGCAAUGUUGGGAUACUACCCUUGUUUGAUGGAUCCUCUAACUCGCAGAGCUGAGCGUUCUGGAGGACAGUGUCAGGUGGGCAGUUUGACUGGGGCGGUCGCCUCCUAAAAUGUAACGGAGGCGCCCAAAGGUUCCCUCAGAAUGGUUGGAAAUCAUUCGCAGAGUGUAAAGGUAUAAGGGAGCUUGACUGCGAGAGGUACACCUCGAGCAGGGACGAAAGUCGGGCUUAGUGAUCUGGUGGUACUGCAUGGAAAGGCCAUCACUCAACGGAUAAAAGCUACCCUGGGGAUAACAGGCUUAUCUCCCCCAAGAGUUCACAUCGACGGGGAGGUUUGGCACCUCGAUGUCGGCUCGUCGCAUCCUGGGGCUGAAGUCGGUCCCAAGGGUUGGGCUGUUCGCCCAUUAAAGCGGCACGCGAGCUGGGUUCAGAACGUCGUGAGACAGUUCGGUCCCUAUCCGUCGUG
This 2085-nucleotide ribosomal RNA is filed under the name Lactobacillus paragasseri. RNAcentral describes it as "bacterial LSU rRNA". It matches the Rfam family "Bacterial large subunit ribosomal RNA", at positions 559 to 2649 of the family's 2925-position model. Lineage: Bacteria; Bacillati; Bacillota; Bacilli; Lactobacillales; Lactobacillaceae. The record is from RNAcentral.